GAUGAACGCUGGCGGCGUGCCUAAUACAUGCAAGUCGAGCGAACGGUCGAGCCUCUUGCUUUUCUGAUUUUAUCAGCGGACGGGAUAUUAACACUUGGUUAACCUACCUAUUAGACUGGGCUAACUUCGGGAAACCGUAGCUAAUACCGGAUAAUUUUUUGAACCGCAUUGUUCAAACGUUAAAGACGGUCUUGCUGUCACUUAUAGCUUGCUCCGCCCUGCAUUAACUAGUUGGUAAGGUAACGGCUUACCAAGGCAACGAUGCAUACCCGACCUGAGCGGGUGAUCGGACAGACGGGAAGUGAGAAACGGUCGAGACACCGACGGGAGGAAGCAGUAGGGAAUCUUCCGCAAGGGGCGAAAGCCUGACGGAGCAAAGCGGCGGGAAGGAUGAAGGUCUACGGAUCGUAAAACUAUGUUAGUAGGGAAGAACAAAUGUGUAAGUAACUGUGAACAUCAUGACGGUACCGAAACAGAAAGCCACGGCUAACUACGUG
RNAcentral lists this ribosomal RNA (497 nucleotides) under uncultured bacterium. Its description in RNAcentral is "partial 16S ribosomal RNA". It matches the Rfam family "Bacterial small subunit ribosomal RNA", at positions 28 to 507 of the family's 1533-position model. The record is from RNAcentral.